AUUGAACGCUGGCGGCAUGCCUUACACAUGCAAGUCGAACGGUAACAGGUCUUCGGAUGCUGACGAGUGGCGAACGGGUGAGUAAUACAUCGGAACGUGCCUAGUAGUGGGGGAUAACUACUCGAAAGAGUGGCUAAUACCGCAUGAGAUCUACGGAUGAAAGCAGGGGAUCGCAAGACCUUGUGCUACUAGAGCGGCCGAUGGCAGAUUAGGUAGUUGGUGGGAUAAAAGCUUACCAAGCCGACGAUCUGUAGCUGGUCUGAGAGGACGAUCAGCCACACAGGGACUGAGACACGGGCCAGACUCCUACGGGAGGCAGCAGUGGGGAAUUUUGGACAAUGGGCGAAAGCCUGAUCCAGCAAUGCCGCGUGCAGGAUGAAGGCCUUCGGGUUGUAAACUGCUUUUGUACGGAACGAAAAGCCCUGGGUUAAUACCCUGGGGUCAUGACGGUACCGUAAGAAUAAGCACCGGCUAACUACGUGCCAGCCGCCGCUGUAA
This 498-nucleotide ribosomal RNA is filed under the name uncultured bacterium. Its description in RNAcentral is "partial 16S ribosomal RNA". It matches the Rfam family "Bacterial small subunit ribosomal RNA", at positions 30 to 523 of the family's 1533-position model. The record is from RNAcentral.